GUGAGGAAUAUUGGUCAAUGGACGAGAGUCUGAACCAGCCAAGUCGCGUGAAGGAAGACGGUUCUAUGAAUUGUAAACUUCUUUUGUGCAGGAAUAAAGUGGGUUACGUGUAACCUUUUGUAUGUACUGUACGAAUAAGGAUCGGCUAACUCCGUGCCAGCAGCCGCGGUAAUACGGAGGAUCCGAGCGUUAUCCGGAUUUAUUGGGUUUAAAGGGUGCGUAGGUGGAUUGAUAAGUCAGCGGUGACAGUUUGCAGCUUAACUGUAAAAUUGCCGUGGAAACUGUCGGUCUUGAGUGCAAAUGAGGUAGGCGGAAUGUGUUGUGUAGCGGUGAAAUGCUUAGAUAUAACACAGAACUCCGAUUGCGAAGGCAGCUUACUGGGAUGCAACUGACACUGAUGCACGAAAGCGUGGGUAUCAAACAGGAUUAGAUACCCUUGUAGUCC
RNAcentral lists this ribosomal RNA (445 nucleotides) under uncultured bacterium. Its description in RNAcentral is "partial 16S ribosomal RNA". It matches the Rfam family "Bacterial small subunit ribosomal RNA", at positions 354 to 796 of the family's 1533-position model. The record is from RNAcentral.